Molecule: ribosomal RNA, 40 nt
Filed under: Laportea interrupta
Lineage: Eukaryota; Viridiplantae; Streptophyta; Magnoliopsida; Rosales; Urticaceae
Also listed under: 2 other names
Description: partial 18S ribosomal RNA
Source: RNAcentral
UUUCCGUAGGUGAACCUGCGGAAGGAUCAUUGUCGAAACU